Long non-coding RNA from Lates calcarifer (barramundi perch), 1690 nucleotides. RefSeq lists it as uncharacterized. Lineage: Eukaryota; Metazoa; Chordata; Actinopteri; Centropomidae. The transcript has 3 exons. The record is from RefSeq and is a predicted model, not a curated record.
GCUGUUGGGGGUGAGAUUAACCUGGUGAUCUCAUGCCGUGGGUGAUGCAGUAUUACGGCAGGUGAACGCUCCACAGUUUCCAGAGAGCAGAGUCGCCAGAUGCUCAUGCCAAAGGCAGGAAUUCACCAACACAGCGGGAAACCUCAAACCUCAGCCUUACCUGGUCCUGACAGGCUGCAAUCUGACUCUCCCACACCCACACAAGGUGAGGCCUGGCCGUGGGCGGAGAGGUUGCACUGGCCAUCUUUCCAGGGAGGAUCCCUUCAGACAAAACAACAAACAUGCACUCAGACAGAGAAGUAUUAUCUGUUGUUAUUAUUGGAGAUAAUUGUGUCAGAUAAUUACAUCUAUUAGCUAUGUUGUGUCUUUUCUGCCGCUCCAAUGUCAAUAUUGUUUCAAGCUCUGUCCUGAGACCACUGUGGCCCCAUGGGAAAAUACUAUGGAUCAGGUAAAGAGGGGCUGUGAAGGUACCAUGAUGUAAGUGACGUGUAUGGAUGUUAUUUGUCUCUGUAAUAAAGCUCUAACAAUAAUAAUAAUAGUGAUGGCAGGAAAAUACAGCAAUUUUAUUUGUGUAGCAGUUUCAAGGUAUAUUCAAGGAUUAAAGGUAUUUUCAAAGAUCACUGAGAUAAAAAAGUAAGUAUCAUUAAGUCAUCAUAUACUUGAAUUAUAAACCAGUCUAUGGAUUUUACUAUAAUCUCUUGUUUAAUGGAAAAUCAAAUCUGUUUUUUCUUAUUACCAAAGACAGUCUGUCUCCCAGCAUUCCCUGUUUCCUUGUCGUAUAUGAGCGUUUCUGACUUUUGAGGGACUGUUUUGCUCACAGAAGGCUUUUGUGUGCUGCAGGUGUUGAGGUAUAUGAGGCUGCGCUAAGGAGAGUUUUACUCCUAUGGGCCCCCUGAGGCCCUGAGGCCUGGUCCAAGAGAAAGACCAGAAGCUGUUUCAACUUCCUCUGCUGUUGAUUUGUAUGGAACACAACUUCAAACACUGUUCUGGAGAGAGUGCCAUUGUCCCUUGUUAUGUUAACAGUGUCUCAUCUCCUUGUGGUGGAAAAUGUAUCAGGAUUCUUUACUACUUGUAGUACAAGCACAGUAUUCAAAUAGUUUAUUACAAGUAAUAAAUAUAAAACUGUAAAGGUAUAUACACAGAUGUAUCAUAAAAGUAAAAAAAAAAAAAAGGAAAGUGAAAGUUUUAUUAUUCUAAUGUAUCAUUAUUGUUAUUAUUUAAUGUUCUCACGGUGGAGCUAUAACUGUAAUUAUUUUUUAUAUUACUGGACAUGGACAUCUCAACCUAUAAAUGUGUACCAUAUUUAAUAAAACGACUGUGUUUUCCAUGUAAAGUUUAAUCUGUAUGUAUGCCAUUAUCUAUAGGUGUCAGUGGAGUGUAGUGGAGUCUUGUCUAUAUCUGAAUUUAUUUUAUUUUAAAGAUACAGCAACUCCAGAGUGCAGUUCUUACAGGACAAGAUCCCAACAGAAUAAUAUGUACUAUAUAUAAUUUAGUACAAAUUUAAGUCCAGUUUAGAGCAAUGAUAUACAAUACAGUGUGUAAUAUUAGACUAUAGCAGUAAAUGGCGUCCAGUCAACAGGUAGAGCAGCAGAGCAGAGAGCUCCCAGACUGGAUUGUGUUAGCGUCUCUAAAGCCCCUGGAGCCACAACACUGACCUUUCCUGUUAUGGAAAUGUACUGCUGGCUGUUCU